Molecule: ribosomal RNA, 642 nt
Filed under: Limosilactobacillus vaginalis
Lineage: Bacteria; Bacillati; Bacillota; Bacilli; Lactobacillales; Lactobacillaceae
Description: bacterial SSU rRNA
Rfam family: Bacterial small subunit ribosomal RNA
Source: RNAcentral
AAUGGGCGCAAGCCUGAUGGAGCAACACCGCGUGAGUGAAGAAGGGUUUCGGCUCGUAAAGCUCUGUUGUUGGAGAAGAACGUGCGUGAGAGUAACUGUUCACGCAGUGACGGUAUCCAACCAGAAAGUCACGGCUAACUACGUGCCAGCAGCCGCGGUAAUACGUAGGUGGCAAGCGUUAUCCGGAUUUAUUGGGCGUAAAGCGAGCGCAGGCGGUUGCUUAGGUCUGAUGUGAAAGCCUUCGGCUUAACCGAAGAAGGGCAUCGGAAACCGGGCGACUUGAGUGCAGAAGAGGACAGCGGAACUCCAUUUGUAGCGGUGGAAUGCGUAGAUAUAUGGAAGAACACCAGUGGCGAAGGCGGCUGUCUGGUCUGCAACUGACGCUGAGGCUCGAAAGCAUGGGUAGCGAACAGGAUUAGAUACCCUGGUAGUCCAUGCCGUAAACGAUGAGUGCUAGGUGUUGGAGGGUUUCCGCCCUUCAGUGCCGGAGCUAACGCAUUAAGCACUCCGCCUGGGGAGUACGACCGCAAGGUUGAAACUCAAAGGAAUUGACGGGGGCCCGCACAAGCGGUGGAGCAUGUGGUUUAAUUCGAAGCUACGCGAAGAACCUUACCAGGUCUUGACAUCUUGCGCUAACCUAAG